AAAGUUGGAGAGACAGCCAAGGGAGUUUGACAGGGAGUUGUGGAGAUACCAAAAAGACAUGAUGUCUCUAGAAGCAAAAUAAGUGGGCAGCUAAUAAAGGUUCUGGCCUGAAGAAAGCCAGAAUGGGAGAGAGGAAAACUGAGGGUUGAGUUGGAAGCAGGAGUGGCCCAAAUUACAAUCACUCCCAAUGACCCACUAAGAGACUUUGUGCUUCCCUUUCCCAAAACUCUUGGCUCUGCUGGGUUGGAGAUCCUGGUCUCCAGAGGAAGUACACUCUUGUCGGGAGACUCAGCAUGGGCCCUUUAAACUGCAAGCUAAGACUGCUGGCAAGACACUCUGGACUCUUGUGUCCAGAGGGCAGUGGGUGAGAAAAGGAGUCACUAUCUUGACGGUAGUAUCAGCAGGAGGAGUUUCCCCUUGAGAAGCCCUUGGGAACCAUGACAGAACUGCUCCCCAAAUACGUGUGGAGAAAUGGAUCUGUGUGGUGCAAGGGGUAGACUGUGGUAGCAAUGGAAGUGAUCUCCUUCAAGAGAAGCUGAUGUGGAAGCGAAACACAGGCUCCAACUGCCACCCCACUGGACCCACUGUGGCAUUCAUACUUCCUCCAGGAUGCUCCCAGACGGUGUUGGCCUUAUAUCUCCAUCUGUAGGUUCUCUCCAUCUACCCCUGUGUGCUCUCCAUUUUUCCGUCAUGGAAUUUUCCCUAAUAAAUCUCUCACGCAUCUAUCCCAUCUUGGUAUCCGCUUCUUGGAGAACCCAAACUGACACAGUCUGCAAUAAACAUUUUGC
Molecule: long non-coding RNA, 788 nt
Filed under: Equus asinus (donkey)
Lineage: Eukaryota; Metazoa; Chordata; Mammalia; Perissodactyla; Equidae
Description: lncRNA (ENSEASG00005033544.1)
Source: RNAcentral